ACAGGUUCCCGUCCCCUCCAUUAACAGCUAUGCACCCUCCCCAGCCAGGAUAUUAAAUCAGAAUAAUUGAGGCUAGGAACUCAAAAGCAAGUUUUUACAGUCAAUGGAGUCAUCGGGAUCUGAAUAUCAUUUGCAUUUGACUGUGGACGGAGAAAGGAUGAGGCUGUCACUGGCUCG
Molecule: long non-coding RNA, 177 nt
Organism: Hemiscyllium ocellatum (epaulette shark)
Lineage: Eukaryota; Metazoa; Chordata; Chondrichthyes; Orectolobiformes; Hemiscylliidae
Exons: 3
Source: RefSeq, a predicted model, not a curated record